This 490-nucleotide ribosomal RNA is filed under the name uncultured bacterium. Its description in RNAcentral is "partial 16S ribosomal RNA". It matches the Rfam family "Bacterial small subunit ribosomal RNA", at positions 29 to 507 of the family's 1533-position model. The record is from RNAcentral.
AUUGAACGCUGGCGGCAGGCCUAACACAUGCAAGUCGAACGGUAACAGGAAGAAGCUUGCUUCUUUGCUGACGAGUGGCGGACGGGUGAGUAAUGUCUGGGAAACUGCCUGAUGGAGGGGGAUAACUACUGGAAACGGUAGCUAAUACCGCAUAACGUCGCAAGACCAAAGAGGGGGACCUUCGGGCCUCUUGCCAUCGGAUGUGCCCAGAUGGGAUUAGCUAGUAGGUGGGGUAACGGCUCAGCUAGGCGACGAUCCCUAGCUGAUGUGAGCGGAUGACCUGCCACACUGGAACUGAGAGACGGUCCAGGCUCAUACGGGAGGCAGCAGUGGGGAAUAUUGCGCAAUGGGGGCAAGCAUGGUGCAACGCUGGCGCGUGUAUGAAGGAGGGCGUAUGGGUGUAAAGUAAGUUCAGCGGGGCGGAAGGGAGUAAAGGUAAUACGGUGGGUCAUUGACGUUACCCGAAGAAGAAGCACCGGCUAACUACGUG